GAACGCUGGCGGCAGGCCUCAUACAUGCAAGUCGAGCGGUCCUUCGGGACAGCGGCGAACGGGUUAGUAACGCGUGGGAACGUGCCCUUUAGUAUGGAAUAGCCAUUGGAAACGAUGAUUAAUACCGUAUACGCCCCAAGGGGGAAAGAUUUAUCGCUAAAGGAUCGGCCCGCGUUAGAUUAGGUAGUUGGUAGGGUAAUGGCCUACCAAGCCUACGAUCUAUAGCUGGUUUGAGAGGAUGAUCAGCAACACUGGGACUGAGACACGGCCCAGACUUCUACGGAAGGCAGCAGUAGGGAAUCUUGGACAAUGGGCGCAAGCCUGAUCCAGCCAUGCCGCGUGAGUGAUGAAGGCCCUAGGGUUGUAAAGCUCUUUCGCCAGGGAAGAUAAUGACGGUACCUGGUAAAGAAACCCCGGCUAAC
This 422-nucleotide ribosomal RNA is filed under the name uncultured Alphaproteobacteria bacterium. Its description in RNAcentral is "bacterial SSU rRNA". It matches the Rfam family "Bacterial small subunit ribosomal RNA", at positions 31 to 501 of the family's 1533-position model. The record is from RNAcentral. Lineage: Bacteria; Pseudomonadati; Pseudomonadota; Alphaproteobacteria.